This 73-nucleotide transfer RNA is filed under the name Stegodyphus mimosarum. It matches the Rfam family "tRNA". Rfam says of the family: Transfer RNA (tRNA) molecules are approximately 80 nucleotides in length. The record is from Rfam by way of RNAcentral. Lineage: Eukaryota; Metazoa; Arthropoda; Arachnida; Araneae; Eresidae.
GUCUUAGUGCUGUAGUGGUUAGCAUGUUCGGCUCGUAUUCGAGAGGUCCGUGGUUCGAGUCCCGGCGAGUGCA